CCAGCAGCCGCGGUAAUUCCAGCUCCAAUAGCGUAUAUUAAUGUUGUUGUGGUUAAAAAGCUCGUAGUUGGAUCUCGGCAGGCAGCCGGGCGGUCUGCAUCGCUGCAGUCACUGCUCCGGUCGUUUGGUUACGUGCCUGUGUUAAUUUUUGCUGGUUUGCCUGGCCGGUGAUCUUGAUCGGUCGUCGGCCCAGGGUCAGCAGUUUUACUUUGAAAAAAUUAGGGUGCUCAAAGCAGGCUUUUGAAGCUUGAAUAUUCGUGCAUGGAAUAAUGGAAUAGGAGGUCGUUCCUAUUUUGUUGGUUUUCGGGAACCGACUUAAUGAUUAAAAGGGACUGCUCGGGGGCAUUUGUAUUCAGGCGCUAGAGGUGAAAUUCUUGGACCGCCUGAAGACACACUACUGCGAAAGCAUUUGCCAAGGAUGUUUUCAUUAAUCAAGAACGAAAGU
RNAcentral lists this ribosomal RNA (445 nucleotides) under uncultured eukaryote. Its description in RNAcentral is "SSU rRNA". It matches the Rfam family "Eukaryotic small subunit ribosomal RNA", at positions 567 to 990 of the family's 1831-position model. The record is from RNAcentral.